Molecule: long non-coding RNA, 1041 nt
Organism: Diabrotica virgifera virgifera (western corn rootworm)
Lineage: Eukaryota; Metazoa; Arthropoda; Insecta; Coleoptera; Chrysomelidae
Exons: 2
Source: RefSeq, a predicted model, not a curated record
CGCGCCACGCACGGCGAGCUAAGCUAUAAUAUAUAUUACAGAUUUAUUCGCGCUGCAUAUCCCGAACGUAUCCUGAUUUUUCCCAGGAUAUAAGUUUUGUUGGUGGAGACAUUGACCCAAAUUUACUAUGUAUGUCUUUGUACUCACUAAUAAUGCUCAAAAAAUUACGGGAUCUGGAUUGUAAUGCAUUUUUUUUAUAAUUCUCAUAUCAUAGUUGCGCGUGAAGUUAGGCGUAUUGAUGACAGUUGAUUUUCAGUUCACCAACGGCAGGCGAGUCUUUGCGAAUAUCCUAUGUAUAUCUCGAAUAUGCCUACCCGAGCGAUAUGGGAGCGAUAUAUUUUUGCAAAUAUUUUGACGCGAUGGCAGCGCCAUGUGGUAGAAUGAAGAAAUAUUAAUGAAAGCAGUCGUGUUGACGGAUGUCAUUGUCAUUUCAUCCAAGAAUGCAAGGAAAAAAAUUUUUAAUUUCAAUUUCAAUGUAUAAUUUUUAUUUUCGCCUAAUUUUUCAGGGAUCAAAAGACGCAAACAAAACAUCUCUAUACGUAUAUUCAAAGAAUAAUUUGUAUUAAGCAAACCUUAGUCAAUACAGGUGAUUCUGGAUAUGCUCUAAGUCAGUUGAUGUUGACAUCCAUCCAAAAUGCAUUACCUGCUACUCUAGAAGAAAUAUUCAUCACAGAAGAACUGAAUCCCCUAUAGAGAGAUGCAAUGGGAUUUUAAAAUGGAGGCAUAGAAUUUUACACUCCAACCAUGGCUGAAUAAAAUAAAUAAUAAUGCAUGCACUGUGCUGCACAAUUUGUGCAUUGGUAUGCAUAAUGUACCCCCUAUUGGUUUAGGUGAUGAAGAAAACAAUCAUAUAGAUAUUGAUUAUGGAAAUGUCAAUGGAAUAAAUAUAGAAGGUAGAAUUCGUGAUAGAGAUCUGCUCACAGGAAGAAGACUCCAACAAAUGCUAAUUCAAAUUAAUUUUAGAAAUUAAUUCAAUAAGUUUGGAAAAAUGUAUGUUCUGUGUUAUUUGUACUUUAUGUAAAUAUUGUUCUGAAGCUAUUU